UCAAACUUGGUCAUUUAGAGGAAGUAAAAGUCGUAACAAGGUUUCCGUAGGUGAACCUGCGGAAGGAUCAUUAACAAAUCUAUUUGAGUGCAGUAGUCCUAGUGGCUACUUGCACACAUAAGCCCUAGAGCGUAGCACCUCUGGUGUGACCGCUCUAGUGUGUUUGGAGGACUCCGGUUCUCCACAUUGACGCUUGUUUGUUUGACAGAGUUAUUAUGACAACAAAAAUAGACAACUUUUAACAAUGGAUCUCUUGGCUCUUGCAUCGAUGAAAACGCAGC
This 281-nucleotide unclassified non-coding RNA is filed under the name uncultured fungus. RNAcentral's name for it is "partial contains small subunit ribosomal RNA, internal transcribed spacer 1, and 5.8S ribosomal RNA". The stretch from base 1 to 73 matches the Rfam family "Eukaryotic small subunit ribosomal RNA", at positions 1759 to 1831 of the family's 1831-position model. Lineage: Eukaryota; Fungi. The record is from RNAcentral.